UAAUGGAUAUUGUGGAAGACUGAAGAGAAGGCACUGCUUGAACACCUGGAUGAAGUUGGAGGAAAGCUCAUACUUAGUGGCCGCUCUGGAAGAUAAAGAAAAUUCAGAAGGGAAGGGAGAAAUGGAUGAAUUGCUCUAUGUCAUACAAGGGAUGAAGGGCUGGCUUUGGACCUGGGCAGGACAUGGGCACGAACCACCACAGUAACUGCCAGCACUGUACAUACAGCAGCUUUUCCUAUAUCAAUCUCAGUAACAGCAGAAAGAAUAUCUAGCCUGCUUAUGCCUCUGAACAUUUUGAAGUCAAACAUCUGAACCUUCUUCCUUUGGGCAGCAUCUAUUCAGCACCCAGGAAACAAAUUGAUACUGAGAGCCUGUUUCUAUCAGGGAAACGAUCUCGGAAAUUAAGAGAAAGAGGAAAGGACUGGGCUUGCCUCAGAGAGAAAAUUGCACAGAAAUAAACCCACCAAAACACGCAAACAAACGAAAAAAAAAAACAACAAAAAACCAACCAAUAUCUCCCCAAAAUCCAAUUACCAAAGGAAAGCAGCAGAAAAUUUCCUAGAGGCAUUGUGAAGG
Molecule: long non-coding RNA, 576 nt
Organism: Centrocercus urophasianus (Greater sage-grouse)
Lineage: Eukaryota; Metazoa; Chordata; Aves; Galliformes; Phasianidae
Exons: 4
Source: RefSeq, a predicted model, not a curated record